Molecule: signal recognition particle RNA, 301 nt
Filed under: Mustela putorius furo (domestic ferret)
Lineage: Eukaryota; Metazoa; Chordata; Mammalia; Carnivora; Mustelidae
Description: Metazoan signal recognition particle RNA (ENSMPUG00000020879.1)
Rfam family: Metazoan signal recognition particle RNA
About the family: The signal recognition particle (SRP) is a universally conserved ribonucleoprotein.
Source: RNAcentral
ACUGGGCGUGGUGCCCAGGCUUGUAGACCCAGCUACUCGGCAGUCUGAAGCAGGAGGAUCACUUGAGCCCAGGAGUUCUGGGCUAUAGUGCGCUAUGCCAAUCAGGUGUCCACACUAAGUUCAGCAUCAAUAUAGUGACCUCCCGGCAGCGCAGGGCCACCAGGUUGCCUAAGGAGGGGUGAACUGGCCCAGGUUGGAAACAGAGCAGGUCAAAGCUCCCGUGCUGAUUAAUAAUUGGGAUCGCACCUGUGAAUAGCCACUGCACUCCAGCCUGAGUGCAACAUAUAGCCAGACCCUGUCU